Molecule: small nucleolar RNA, 93 nt
Filed under: Oryza sativa (Asian cultivated rice)
Lineage: Eukaryota; Viridiplantae; Streptophyta; Magnoliopsida; Poales; Poaceae
Description: Z203a small nucleolar RNA
Source: RNAcentral
AAAAAUGAUAUGAUGAGCUCGUUAGGUUGCAGCAGCAUCCGUGAUGCCAUGUGCAUAACCAUCGAAUUCCACACGAGAUUUCUGAUCAUUCUU